UACCUGGUUGAUCCUGCCAGUAGUCAUAUGCUUGUCUCAAAGAUUAAGCCAUGCAUGUCUAAGUAUAAGCACUCGUACUGUGAAACUGCGAAUGGCUCAUUAAAUCAGUUAUCGUUUAUUUGAUUGUACUUUACUACAUGGAUACCUGUGGUAAUUCUAGAGCUAAUACAUGCGAAAAAUCCCGACUUCUGGAAGGGAUGUAUUUAUUAGAUUAAAAACCAAUGCGUGCCCUCGGGCGCGUUUUCUUGGUGAUUCAUGAUAACUUUUCGAAUCGUAUGGCCUUGCGCCGGCGAUAUUUCAUUCAAAUUUCUGCCCUAUCAACUGUCGAUGGUAAGGUAGUGGCUUACCAUGGUUAUAACGGGUGACGGAGAAUUAGGGUUCGAUUCCGGAGGGGGAGCCUGAGAAACGGCUACCACAUCUAAGGAAGGCAGCACGCUCGAAAAUUACCCAAUCCCGACUCGGGGAGGUAGUGACAAGAAAUAACGAUACGGGGUCUUAAUAGGUCUCGCAAUUGGAAUGAGUACAAUUUAAAUCCUUUAACGAGGAUCAAUUGGAGGGCAAGUCUGGUGCCAGCAGCCGCGGUAAUUCCAGCUCCAGUAGC
This 601-nucleotide ribosomal RNA is filed under the name uncultured marine eukaryote. RNAcentral's name for it is "SSU rRNA". It matches the Rfam family "Eukaryotic small subunit ribosomal RNA", at positions 1 to 598 of the family's 1831-position model. The record is from RNAcentral.